UACUUAGAUAUUUAUUUGCGAGUAAUUAAUUAACGUACCCAGGUCUUGUUGUACAUGCCGAUGGUGAGGUUGGUGGGCACGGGAAAGCCGAACUGGUUGAUGCCGUAGCCCUGGAUCCUGGCCAUCUGCGGCAGCGGGUCCACGUACUUGGGUAGGUCCGCCGUGCUCCUCAACGGCCUCGCCGCCGUCGGCGACGGAUCUGCCGCCGGCGUGUAGUCGUCGGGGUCAUCUGACGCCCAACCCCAGCGACUUUUGCUGAUCACGCUGCAGAUGUAGCUAGGGAUCAACGAAUCACUCUUACAGUUAAGUAUUGACAUCACUGUAUCCCACUGAGUUUGGUAGUUUUUUGCUGCUGCAGGUUCAUCCCUGGCGGCUGCGACGACGACGACAGCCGCCAGCAACAUAGCGGCCAGCUGCUGAAUCCUCGGACCCAUCUGCACACGUACGCAAUAAUCAACAAUACAAACAUCAGUUCAUUCAUUUACAAUAGUUUGAUUGUGUUCUAAGUUAAUCUCUAACCAUAUCAUGCAGCAAUGUCGUAAUUAAUGUCUCAGUUUCUCACCUUAGCUAGCAGCGUCCGAGCUUGGAGAGGGGCAUGCAAAGGAUAAUUAACCGAGGAGAAAGAAAGAUUAGCUAGCUAAGACAAUGACGAUCGAUGUGUGAGCGUGUGGCUAACACACACGAGCCACACGACUGAUGCUCUUGGCAAUCUGAGAGGGUUGCUAUUUAUAGGAUUAUUAUUACUGUAGUUUGAACAGGUAAACGGUCAAUUAAUCGUGCAGGUCAGUGACAUGCAUGCAUCGACGCUAAUUGGCCGAAUAAUUUGUUGGAUUUGGCCAACACAUCAACCUAAACUAAGUAGAGAAAUUGGAUGCGAGUUUCUACACACAACAUUUUAAAUCCAGAGAGCUUCCUCUGCAUGACCCAACUAGCUAGCUAGUUAAUUAAUUAAGCUCUGCGAGAUUAUAUAUAGUCAACACUUGAACAUAGAUAUUCAGCAGCUGCUAGCUGGUCCUUUUGAACAGUUUCUUAAUCAAUCACUGUUUACUUAUAUAUAGUUUGUCCUAAUCUUGGCUGUUUCCUCGUACGGCAGGAAAUAAUACUACAUAAUUACAGUCACACACACAUCCAUCGUACUCCGCCCAUGUGACAUACAUUUACUUCUUCCUUCAUGUUAAAAAAAAGUUUUUCCGGAUUUUAAGUUUUAUUCGCAUAUAUAAGUAUUUUUUAAUAUGGAUUUCAAUGCAUGGAAAUCCAUAUAUUUUCAGCCAAACAAUUGAAAUUUAAAAUUUGAUAUCUGAGAUACUAAAAGGAAACCUUUGCUAUAAUUAAAUCAACAUCCUGGUAUCUAACGUUGAUAUCAUCCAACAGUCCUUUGAAAGGCCUGCUUCUCUCUAUAUCUGAGUUAACAAAACCGAUCUUUUUUUUUUCUUUUAAGAAAUUAACCGCUCAAUUUUUUGAAACUGUCGGUGACCGGUUUGUAAAAGUCAAUUAUUGGUUUUAGCCUUUUUACUAAGCUGGCCGAGAGUUGUUGGUAACGCGGUGAGGAGUGGUUUUAAAUUGCAAAGCGAAAAAGGUAAACCCUGCUCUCUACUCUCAGCCAGUCUUCACCGUCUUCCUCAAACCCCUGCUCUAUCAAUAAAAACGAGGUAAAGAUUUUGUCCUCUUUUCAUCCUCUUUCUCAACGAACAAUAUCUCUCCCUCCGGCUUGCUUUCCUAGGAACAGCCAAGGCCCAAUGCUCAGGAGGAAGAUAAUAGUCCGGAUGCUUGUGAUACACAUGAAUCUACAAAUAAUGAAAGAACCCUAAGGCAACCAAGACAAUUAGUGUCAGAUAAUUAAUUAUGAAGAAAGUGAGCGUGUCACUUUCUUUAAGCGAUGAGCUAGGUUGAAAGUUGAAACCAUGCGCCCCUGGUAAUGCGCAGUAAUCUAAGUAUCCCCGAUCGAGAAAUCACGUGCAUUGCUCAGGAAUCAGCACCAGAUGAUGAGAAUAUAACUGCCUCAUGAGAACACAUGCUUUAUACAAAUAAACAAGGAUAUAGUGGAUCGAUUGCGAAAUAAUUUUUUUAUGAUAAAAUAAAACUGCGUACACUCCUGCCUCUACAUAUUAAAUUCCUAGUGCCUCAUAAUUAUAGCUCAUCCUUUUCCUUUUGUUUUUUUUGUAUUGUUUUUUUUUUGGUAAGAUUAGCCUUUGCUAUCUGUGGAUCUACCACAUCUUUUAGGGGGCCACCUAUUUGGUAUACGCACCAUCUCCAUUACGGACGCAUCUACAUCGUACAACGUUGAUUAUUUUUAUGUGAAUUUUUCUAAUGUAUUUUAGAGUUUGAAUCUUUUACCUCAAAUUUCAUAACAAUAUAUUGAAAACUUUCGACUCGAAUUUUGAACUCAAAUUUCAAAACAUUCAUCUAAAAAAUUCAAAAUUCUCAACUCAAAUUUUAAAAACUUUUAAAUCAGAAUUUAAAAUUUUCAAAUUUGAUUUGAAAGUUUUCAAAUUUGAGUUGGAAGUUUUCAUAUCUGAAUUGAAAGAUCGAUUUGACUUGAAAGUUUUCAAAUCUAAGUUAAAAUUUUUCGUAUAUGAGAUUAAAGGUUUACAAUCUUGAAUUGAAAAUUUUCUAGUAAGAGAAGGAGAAGGAGAUUGGAUAUGGUGUGUGCUACUUCUCUUGCUAGUGCAUAUAUGCUAAAUAGGAUUCAUGCAUCUUUCAUGGAUUGGGUUUAGAUCAAUAGAAGAACACAAAGAUAUAAGUGGAUUACUUGUACUUUGCAAUUGGAUACGUACCAUUUUUGAAAUUAGGAUGGACCCAUCAUUUUGUGGGUGAGCAUUGCAAUGGACAUAAAUAACUAGGGAUGAAAACGGUCAGAAACGAUCGGAAAACAGCCUCAACCAUUUCCGUAACCAUAUUUUUCUCGGAAACGAAAUCGGAAACGGUAAAGUCGGAAACGAAAACGAUAUCGGAAAUAUCGGAAAACCGGAAACGGAACAAUACGGACGGAAACAUGUCGGUACAGAUCGGAAACCGAUAACAAAUACGGAAACAUUAAACUAUAAAAACAUAUAUUUAACUUUACAUAAGUAUGUUAUAUAUAUAUACAUAAAUUCAAGCUUAUACUAUAUAAAUUAUAAAUUAACUUCAUUUUAGCCAUGUACAAAAGUUAGAGAUUUUAUUGAAGAGUCAUUCAAUCUAUAAGCUGUGGGUCAAGUAUAGACAUGUCCUAUAAUAUCGACAUAUUUAGAAUACGGUAAUUAUCAUAUUAUAAGAAAUGGUAAUUUCCGCGAGAAUACGGUAAAUACGGAAACGAUCGGUAUAACAGCAAAACCAUUUCCGUUUUCAUUUCCAUAUUUUUACCAUUUCCAUUUUUGUUUCGGUCGAUUACCAUUUCCAUAUGGCCCGGCCGGUAGAAAGUCGAAAACGAACGCCGGUCGGCCGGUAAUUACCGUUACCGUUUUCACCCCUAUAAAUAACCAUCAACUUGGGCUUCGAUGUGCACUACUCCAUGAGCUAUGUUGAGGGCAAACCACUUGUGCAAUUGCUCAUCAUUUCUUAUCUCAACAAAUUCGCCAUCAAUAACAUGUCAUAAAAAAAAACGUAUUGGUUAGAACCCCACACAAUUUUUGAGCCGAUAAAAUCAAUUAAUUACUACAAUGUGAAGCUAUGCAUGCCAAGUUUUGUUAUGAAAUGUGCUUAGCGGUGUUACCUAGCUGAGGGUCACGCGUCAUCACGUACUGGGCCACCCCUCAAGGUCACCCGGCCACCCAUCAAGUUGCCAGGUGUGCGUGAUGACGCGGCCCAGCCACUGCUCCCUCCCGCAGUACACUGCAGCAACAUCCAAGCGCCACCACCACCACUCCUUCCGCCCUAGCCUACCACAGCUCCCUUCAUGUCAGUGAUGAAAACCCUAGCGCUAACUCAGUCAUGCCACCGAGAUGAAUUCGGUCGGGACUGGAUGAGAAAGUUGGGGAUAUGGUUGAUGUGUAAUUAAGGGCAUUUUGGUCAGUUUGAGCUAGUUUUUUCCUAAACAAAAACCUAACGGUUAAUAAAAACAAGGUCAGACGAUAAAUGAUUAAACUUAAGAAAAUAGGGGCAGAUUGGUAGAUAACCUUAAGAAUAGAAUAAAAUGAUCAAUUAUCCCUUUUUUUUUCUACAUCAAGAGGAUAGGAGAGGGGGAGUGCGUGGUUGUGACUUGUGAGGCACCAUACUUACGCUAAAUCACAUGCCAUGUUUUAUAUAGUAGUUCUUGCAAAUAAGGCAAACUCUAUUAGUCUCGAGGAGACGUCCUCUCAUUUCUUUGCAUAUCAUCCAUCUAUAAGUUACAGCGAAAAUAAAUAAAUACGACGGUGAGAACAUGUAUACAAAUCAAUUAUAGUUAAAUUCAUUAUUUUUUUUUGUUAAAACUUAUAGUUUAAUUCGUUAUUAUAGUUAAAUUUAAACUUGCAUGUUUGUGGAGUUAUAUGUUACAUACCAAUCUCUAUCUUAUCUUUAUUUUUUUUAGAAAUAAAUUAUGACUAUUUAAAUGACAUGCAAUUGGGAACAUCCCUUGAAGGAUUAAAAUUUAUUUCCUGAAAUAAGCUAUAUUAUUUUGUACAGUGUACUUCAACAAUCAACAACAUAAUUCAUAUAUAACUUCCAAUAAAGUACAAACCCAAAUUAAGUCCGUAGCACAGAUACCCCGUCAGAGCGCACCAGUUUAUGACUAGCAAACUUUCACUCAUAAACAAAGACUUGGAUAACAUAACAUAAACAACUUUCACUCAAACGUAAAUGCUCAGAAUUAUUAAUCCUAGUGAAGAAGCUUCUUCAUCUCAUAUUCUCAUCGAUCAGCACUACGUUUCUUGUUCAUGGAAGCAGCUUCAGAGGCCUGAUCAUGGCGUUGUCUUCGUGAUCCAGGAUCUGCACAGUCAAAAUAAAUUAGAAAUGGAGCAACUGAUCAAUGAACACGAUAACGAACGGGCACGUCGAGCAUAUGACGUGGCGCUUACGUGGCAGUGGUAGACGAAUCCCGGCUCGGUGGUGGCGUCGAAGGGGUAGGGCUGAUUGGCCUCGACAAGCCUGAACGCCACCACCACCGACGUCAUGAACUCCGGCGGAAUCUUCACCGCGUUCUUCCACGUCUUCUCCUCCUCCGGCACCGGCACGACGGGCCCGACGGCGUGCUGGUCGAGGUUGCACGUGGCGGUGUUGUUGUUUUUGAUCAUGCAGUCCUUGAACACCUGGAAUCCCUCGAUCUUCGUCAUCUUGAUGGCCUGGAACGUGGCAAUGUGGAGGUGCAGCGGGUGGUUGUCGCCGGUGAGGUUGAUCACCUGCCACAGCUCCGUCGUGCCGGACUUGGGCGUCUCCGUCACCGGGUCCUCCAGCCGGAGGCCGUUGAUGUAGAGGUUCCCCGGCGCGGUCUGGUUCUCGUACAGGACGAUGUACCUCGUCGUCGUCGGCGGCGGGAGCGCCGCCACGCUCGCGUACGGCACGCCGUGCUCCGGCACCUUGGAUUUGUCCGGCAUGUCGUCGACCUUCCCCUUGCCGGCGACCUUGAACAGCAUCACCUUCCCGUCGAGGUUCGGGUCCGUCACAUUAGGGCCGUUGGGGAACGGGUAGGGCGCCGUGUUGAGCAUCUCGAUCUCGGUCAUCGCCGCCGGCAACCGGGAGAAGUCGACGAUGACGUCGAAGAUCUCGGCCGGCGAGAGGACGAGGUUGGAGACGGUGACCGGCCUGGAGAGGUAGGAGGAGUCGGAGCCAAUGACGGUGAAGGGGAGGGCGCCAUUGGAGAGCGUGACGUUGAAGUAUCUGGCGUUGCUGGCGUUGAGGAUGCGGAGGCGGUAGCGGCGGCGCUGGACGCUGAGGUACGGCCACGCCUUGCCGUUGACGGUGAUGACGAGGCCGAAGUACUCCGGCUUCCACUCCCGGUCGAUGGAGAUGGAGCCAUUGGUGUAGAACUCGCGGUCGGCGAUGACGAGGUGGAGGUCGUGGUCGCCGCAGGGGAGGUUCAUGGGGUCCUCGAGCUCGGGCUUCUCGAUGACGUAGGCGGCGAGGAGGCCGGCGAGGAGGCUGACGCGGGUGAGGCCGAGGGCGUGGUCGUGGUACCAGAGGUUGCCCGGCGCCUGCACGUUGGGGUAGGUGUAGGUCUUCCGCGUCCAUGUGCUGCCGUUCUCGGCGAAGUCGCGGGUGAACCAGGCGAAGGCGUGGCCGUCGAACUCCGGCGGGUGGGCGCCGCCGUGGAGGUGAACGACGGUGGGGACGCCGCCCUUCUUGGGGAUGGCGGUGGGGACCUUGGGGUCCCACGGGAGGAUGUGGGCGUCGGGGAGGUGGUUCUGCCACUCCACGGCGAGCGGCACGCCCUGCCGCGCCACGAUGGUGGGCCCCGGGAACGUCGCUGUCUGCAGCGAUUGCCCGUACACGAACACCGGCGUCGGUGGCAUGUCGCGGUGGAAUUGCUGCAUGCGCAAGCAUCCCAUUUUGAAAUUAUUUUUCGAUUUUGCUACAUGUUUAUUGAUAUUUUUUUUCUUGAAAGUUCUUUUUUUUUCUUGAAAGUUCGAUAGACAUAAAUAUAUUUAACCGUAUAAUAUAGCUACAUUGUAACUUCUAUAGAUGUACUGACUUUGGUCAAAAUUAAACUGUUUCAAAUUUAUUUAAGUUCAUAGACAAAUAUAGUAAUAUUAAUAAUACUAAACUAGUUUUUAUCAAAUCAAUAAUUGAAUAUAUUUUCAUAAUAAAAUUGUCUUGGGUUGAAAAUGUUAUUGCUAUUUUUACAAGCUUAAUCAAACUUAGAGCACUUUGACUCAAAGUCAAAAUGUCUUAUAACUGAAAUAGAGGGAGUAUAUAACUGAAAUAGAGGGAGUAUAUAAUAUAAUUUAUAUGAAACUUUCACAUAUAUAGGUAGUCCUUUUUUAUUUUCUUACCGGUAAAUUUUAGCAUAUUUACAUUAUUUAUUAUUUUUUAGUAAUAAGACAAAUAGUCAAACAUAAUUUCAAAAGUCAUAUAUAUCAUCUAAUAAAAAAUGAAGGUAGUAUAUUGUUGGAUCUAAAAAUAAAUAUCUAAGAUUUGUUCAUGACACCAAAAUUGAAAUUUUUACUCCCAGAUUUAAUCAUGAAUAACAGUUUUACUUAUGAUAAUAUGGAUAAAUCUCAAGCGUAUAUAUUUUUCUUAAUUUAAUGGUAGUUUACAUGUCUUCACUAUAUACGUUGGUCUGGAUAUUAGAUAUAUAUUUUCCCGUAAUCACAACGUACGUACCCAUGUCUUGCUGUACAUGCCGAUGGUGAGCUUGAUGGGCACUGGACGGCCAUGGCGGAUGCCGUAGCCCCGGAUCUUGGCAAUCCGCGGCAGCGAGUCCACGUACUUUGUCAGGUUCAAGCUCGUCAUCACCGGCCACCGCCGCCGCCCCGCCGCCGGCGCCGGCAGCGGAUGAUCCGGUGGUGUGUACUCGUCGUCGUUGGGGUCAUCUGACGCCCAACCCCAGCGACUUUUGCUAAUCACGCUGCAGAUGUAGCUUGGGAUUAAAGAAUCACUCUUACAGUUAAGUAUUGACAUUACUGUAUCCCAUUGAGUUUGGUAAUUUUUUGCUGCUGCAGGUUCAUCCCUGGCGGCUG
This 7571-nucleotide long non-coding RNA is filed under the name Oryza sativa (Asian cultivated rice). RNAcentral describes it as "long non-coding RNA (OSAT_LNC000602)". The record is from RNAcentral. Lineage: Eukaryota; Viridiplantae; Streptophyta; Magnoliopsida; Poales; Poaceae.